GAGUUUGAUCCUGGCUCAGAACGAACGCUGGCGGCGUGGAUAAGACAUGCAAGUCGAACGGGAAUCACGAGAAGCUUGCUUUUUGUGAUUCUAGUGGCGGACGGGUGCGUAACACGUGAGCAACCUGCCCAAAAGAGGGGGAUAGCCCGAGGAAACUCGGAUUAAUACCGCGUAUGGUACGGAAGGGCAUCCUUCUAGUAUUAAAGGUGGGGAUCACUUCGGUGACCUGCCGCUUUUGGAUGGGCUCGCGGCCUAUCAGCUUGUUGGUGAGGUAAAGGCUCACCAAGGCUACGACGGGUAACUGGUCUGAGAGGACGAUCAGUCACACUGGAACUGAGACACGGUCCAGACACCUACGGGUGGCAGCAGUCGAGAAUCAUUCGCAAUGGGGGAAACCCUGACGGUGCGACGCCGCGUGGAGGAUGAAGGCCCUAGGGUCGUAAACUCCUGUCAUUAGAGAGUAAAGCUUUUCAAUUAAUAGUUGGAAAGUCUGAUAGUAUCUGAAGAGGAAGGGACGGCUAACUUCGUGCCAGCAGCCGCGGUAAUACGAAGGUCCCAAGCGUUGUUCGGAUUUACUGGGCGUAAAGCGUGCGUAGGCGGCGAGGUAAGUCAGAUGUGAAAUCCCGGGGCUCAACCCCGGAACUGCAUCCGAUACUGCCUUGCUAGAGUAAUGGAGGGGCAUCUGGAAUUCAUGGUGUAGCAGUGAAAUGCGUAGAUAUCAUGAGGAACACUAGUGGCGAAGSCGAGAUGCUGGACAUUUACUGACGCUGAGGUACGAAGGCCAGGGUAGCGAAAAGGAUUAGAUACCCUUGUAGUCCUGGCAGUAAACGGUGCUCGCUUGGUGUGGGGAGGUUCGACCCUCUCCGUGCCGGAGCUAACGCGUUAAGCGAGCCGCCUGGGGAGUACGGUCGCAAGACUAAAACUCAAAGAAAUUGACGGGGACCCGCACAAGCGGUGGAGCAUGUGGUUUAAUUCGAUGCAACGCGAAGAACCUUACCGGGGUUUGACAUCGUAGUGAAGUGUGCAGAGAUGUACAUGUCCUUCGGGACACUAUGACAGGUGCUGCAUGGCUGUCGUCAGCUCGUGUCGUGAGAUGUUUGGUUAAGUCCUCUAACGAGCGCAACUCCUGCUGCCAGUUGCUAUCCUUCGGGAGCACUCUGGUGGGACUGCCUGGGAAACCAGGAGGAAGGUGGGAAUGACGUCAAGUCAUCAUGGUCCUUAUACCCAGGGCUACACACGUGUUACAAUGGCCAGUACAAAGGGCUGCAAGACCGCAAGGUGGAGCUAAUCCCAGAAAGCUGGUCUAAGUUCGGAUUGGAGUCUGCAACUCGACUCCAUGAAGUUGAAAUCGCUAGUAAUCGCGUAUCAGAACGACGCGGUGAAUACGUUCUCGGGCCUUGUACACACCGCCCGUCACACCACGAAAGUUGUCUGUACCCGAAGCUUGUUUAGCUAACCCGUAAGGGAGGCGGCGAGUUAAGGUGUGGGCGAUGAUUGGGGUGAAGUCGUAACAAGGUAGCC
RNAcentral lists this ribosomal RNA (1521 nucleotides) under uncultured bacterium. RNAcentral's name for it is "partial 16S ribosomal RNA". It matches the Rfam family "Bacterial small subunit ribosomal RNA". The record is from RNAcentral.